GACGAACGCUGGCGGCGUGCUUAACACAUGCAAGUCGAACGGAAAGGCCCUGCUUUUGUGGGGUGCUCGAGUGGCGAACGGGUGAGUAACACGUGAGUAACCUGCCCUUGACUUUGGGAUAACUUCAGGAAACUGGGGCUAAUACCGGAUAGGAGCUCCUGCUGCAUGGUGGGGGUUGGAAAGUUUCGGCGGUUGGGGAUGGACUCGCGGCUUAUCAGCUUGUUGGUGGGGUAGUGGCUUACCAAGGCUUUGACGGGUAGCCGGCCUGAGAGGGUGACCGGACACAUUGGACCUGGAAUACGACCCAGACUCCUACGGGAGGCAGCGGUGGAGAAUAUUGCACAAGGGGCGGAAGCCUAAUGCAGCCACGCCGUGUGGGGGAUGACAGCCUUCGGGUUGUAAUCCGCUUUCGCCUGUGACGAAGCGUGAGUGACGGUAAUGGGUAAAGAAGCACCGGCUAACUACGUG
This 468-nucleotide ribosomal RNA is filed under the name uncultured bacterium. RNAcentral's name for it is "partial 16S ribosomal RNA". It matches the Rfam family "Bacterial small subunit ribosomal RNA", at positions 28 to 507 of the family's 1533-position model. The record is from RNAcentral.